RNAcentral lists this ribosomal RNA (497 nucleotides) under uncultured bacterium. Its description in RNAcentral is "partial 16S ribosomal RNA". It matches the Rfam family "Bacterial small subunit ribosomal RNA", at positions 28 to 507 of the family's 1533-position model. The record is from RNAcentral.
GAUGAACGCUGGCGGCGUGCCUAAUACAUGCAAGUCGAGCGAACGGACGAGAAGCUUGCUUCUCUGAUGUUAGCGGCGGACGGGUGAGUAACACGUGGAUAACCUACCUAUAAGACUGGGAUAACUUCGGGAAACCGGAGCUAAUACCGGAUAAUAUUUUGAACCGCAUGGUUCAAAAGUGAAAGACGGUCUUGCUGUCACUUAUAGAUGGAUCCGCGCUGCUUUAGCUAGUUGGUAAGGUAACGGCUUACCAAGGCAACGAUGCAUAGCCGACCUGAGAGGGUGGUCGGCCACACUGGAACUGAGACACGGUCCAGACUCCUACGGGAGGCAGCAGUAGGGAAUCUUCCGCAAUGGGCGAAAGCCUGACGGAGCAACGCCGCGUGAGUGAUGAAGGUCUUCUGAUCGUAAAACUCUGUUAUUAGGGAAGAACAUAUGUGUAAGUAACUGUGCACAUCUUGACGGUACCUAAUCAGAAAGCCACGGCUAACUACGUG